This 1436-nucleotide ribosomal RNA is filed under the name uncultured marine bacterium. Its description in RNAcentral is "bacterial SSU rRNA". It matches the Rfam family "Bacterial small subunit ribosomal RNA". The record is from RNAcentral.
GAGUUUGAUCCUGGCUCAGAACGUACGCUGGCGGCACGCCUAACACAUGCAAGUCGAACGAAGUAGCAAUACUUAGUGGCAGACGGGUGAGUAACAUGUAGGUAUCUGCCCUUUGGCCUGGAAUAACACGAGGAAACUUGUGCUAAUACCGGAUAAGUCUUUACGGAGAAAGCUUUAUGCACCAUUGGAUGAGCCUGCACUUGAUUAGUUUGUUGGUGGGGUAAUGGCCUACCAAGACUGUGAUCAAUAGCUGAUUUGAGAGGAUGAUCAGCCACAUUGGGACUGAGACACGGCCCAAACUCCUACGGGAGGCAGCAGUGGGGAAUCUUGCACAAUGGAGGAAACUCUGAUGCAGCGAUGCCGCGUGAGUGAAGAAGGCCCUUGGGUUGUAAAGCUCUUUCGUCGGGGAAGAAAAUGACUGUACCCGAAUAAGAAGGUCCGGCUAACUUCGUGCCAGCAGCCGCGGUAAUACGAAGGGACCUAGCGUAGUUCGGAAUUACUGGGCUUAAAGAGUUCGUAGGUGGUUGAAAAAGUUAGUGGUGAAAUCCCAGAGCUUAACUCUGGAACUGCCAUUAAAACUUUUCAGCUAGAGUAUGAUAGAGGAAAGCAGAAUUUCUAGUGUAGAGGUGAAAUUCGUAGAUAUUAGAAAGAAUACCAAUUGCGAAGGCAGCUUUCUGGAUCAUUACUGACACUGAGGAACGAAAGCAUGGGUAGCGAAGAGGAUUAGAUACCCUCGUAGUCCAUGCCGUAAACGAUGUGUGUUAGACGUUGGAAAUUUAUUUUCAGUGUCGCAGGGAAACCGAUAAACACACCGCCUGGGGAGUACGACCGCAAGGUUAAAACUCAAAUGAAUUGACGGGGACCCCGCACAAGUAGUGGAGCAUGUGGUUUAAUUCGAAGAUACGCGCAGAACCUUACCAACACUUGACAUGUUCGUCGCGACUCUAAGAGAUUAGAGUUUUCGGUUCGGCCGGACGAAACACAGGUGCUGCAUGGCUGUCGUCAGCUCGUGUCGUGAGAUGUUGGGUUAAGUCCCGCAACGAGCGCAACCCUCACUUUUAGUUGCCAUCAUUAAGUUGGGCACUCUGAAAGAACUGCCAGUGAUAAGCUGGAGGAAGGUGGGGAUGACGUCAAGUCCUCAUGGCCCUUACGUGUUGGGCUACACACGUGCUACAAUGGUAUCUACAACAGGAAGCAAGACUGCGAAGUUAAGCAAAUCCCUAAAAGAUACCUCAGUUCGGAUUGCACUCUGCAACUCGAGUGCAUGAAGCUGGAAUUACUAGUAAUCGUGGAUCAGCGUGCCACGGUGAAUGCGUUCCCGGGUCUUGUACACACCGCCCGUCACACCAUGGGAGUUGGUUCUACCUUAAGGCAAGGUUUCAAACCCUUGACCACGGUAUAGUCAGCGACUGGGGUGAAGUCGUAACAAGGUAACC